GACGAACGCUGGCGGCGUGCUUAACACAUGCAAGUCGAACGGAAAGGCCCUGCUUUUGUGGGGUGCUCGAGUGGCGAACGGGUGAGUAACACGUGAGUAACCUGCCCUUGACUGUGGGGUAACUUCAGGAAACUGGGGCUAAUACCGGGGAGGAGCUCCUGCUGCAUGGGGGGGGUUGGAAAGUUUCGGCGGUUGGGGCUGGUAUGGCGGCUUAUGAGCUAGUUGGGGGGGUAGUGGAGUACCAAGGCUUUGACGGGUAGCCGGCCUGGGAGGGUGGCCGGCCACCAGGGGACUGAGGUACGCCGCAGACGGCAAUGUUCGGCAGUAGGCGGAAACCUUGCGCAGUGGCGCGACGCGUGUGAUGGAGGCCUCCCGUUCGGGAUGCCCGGUUACGAGGGGAAAACCAAUGUCGCCUGUGCCGUGGCGUUAGUGACGGUAACUAGUAAAAAAGCACCGGCUAACUACGUG
RNAcentral lists this ribosomal RNA (468 nucleotides) under uncultured bacterium. Its description in RNAcentral is "partial 16S ribosomal RNA". It matches the Rfam family "Bacterial small subunit ribosomal RNA", at positions 28 to 507 of the family's 1533-position model. The record is from RNAcentral.